This 484-nucleotide ribosomal RNA is filed under the name uncultured bacterium. RNAcentral's name for it is "partial 16S ribosomal RNA". It matches the Rfam family "Bacterial small subunit ribosomal RNA", at positions 28 to 523 of the family's 1533-position model. The record is from RNAcentral.
GACGAACGCUGGCGGCGUGCUUAACACAUGCAAGUCGAACGAUGAUGCUGGAGCUUGCUCCAGUUGAUUAGUGGCGAACGGGUGAGCAACACGUGAGCAAUCUGCCCUUGACUCUGGGAUAACUGCGGGAAACUGUAGCUAAUACCGGAUACUUUCACCGGAAGGCAUCUUCUGGUGAUGAAAGAAUUUCGGUCAGGGAUGAGCUCGCGGGCUAUCAGCUUGUUGGUGAGGUAACGGCUCACAAAGGCGACGACGGGUAGCCGGCCUGAGAGGGUGACCGGCCACACUGGGACUGAGACACGGCCCAGACUCCUACGGGAGGCAGCAGUGGGGAAUAUUGCACAAUGGGCGCAAGCCUGAUGCAGCAACGCCGCGUGAGGGAUGAAGGCCUUCGGGUUGUAAACCUCUUUUAGCAGGGAAGAAGCGAAAGUGACGGUACCUGCAGAAAAAGCACCGGCUAACUACGUGCCAGCAGCCGCGGUAA